UACGUAGGGGGCAAGCGUUGUCCGGAUUUAUUGGGCGUAAAGAGCGUGUAGGCGGCCAGGUAGGUCAGCUGUGAAAACUCGAGGCUCAACCUCGAGACGCCGAUGGAAACCAUCUAGCUAGAGUCCGGAAGAGGAGAGUGGAAUUCCUGGUGUAGCGGUGAAAUGCGCAGAUAUCAGGAAGAACACCCGUGGCUAAGGCGGCUCUCUAGUACGGUACUGACGCUGAGACGCGAAAGCGUGGGGAGCGAACAGG
RNAcentral lists this ribosomal RNA (253 nucleotides) under uncultured bacterium. Its description in RNAcentral is "partial 16S ribosomal RNA". It matches the Rfam family "Bacterial small subunit ribosomal RNA", at positions 524 to 776 of the family's 1533-position model. The record is from RNAcentral.